AUACCUUUCUAGGCCUUUUGGCUAAGAUCAAGUGUAGUAUCUGUUCUUAUCAGUUUAAUAUUUGAUAUGUGGGUCAUGUGUUCCCAACGAUAUUAAAUUUAUUUUUUGUGGGGAGGGCCCAUCACAGUGGUUUGCCACUGGUACCCUCAGGGGUUGCCCAGUGCGUUGCACUAUUGCCUGGGCAGGCGCACCCCAA
This is a non-coding RNA of Triticum aestivum (bread wheat), 196 nucleotides long. NCBI's taxonomy places the organism in Eukaryota, Viridiplantae, Streptophyta, Magnoliopsida, Poales, Poaceae. The record is from Rfam.